GUGGGGAAUAUUGCACAAUGGGCGCAAGCCUGAUGCAGCCAUGCCGCGUGUGUGAAGAAGGCCUUCGGGUUGUAAAGCACUUUCAGCGGGGAGGAAGGCGGUGAGGUUAAUAACCUCAUCGAUUGACGUUACCCGCAGAAGAAGCACCGGCUAACUCCGUGCCAGCAGCCGCGGUAAUACGGAGGGUGCAAGCGUUAAUCGGAAUUACUGGGCGUAAAGCGCACGCAGGCGGUCUGUCAAGUCGGAUGUGAAAUCCCCGGGCUCAACCUGGGAACUGCAUUCGAAACUGGCAGGCUAGAGUCUUGUAGAGGGGGGUAGAAUUCCAGGUGUAGCGGUGAAAUGCGUAGAGAUCUGGAGGAAUACCGGUGGCGAAGGCGGCCCCCUGGACAAAGACUGACGCUCAGGUGCGAAAGCGUGGGGAGCAAACAGGAUUAGAAACCCCAGUAGUCC
Molecule: ribosomal RNA, 450 nt
Filed under: uncultured bacterium
Lineage: Bacteria
Also listed under: 1 other name
Description: bacterial SSU rRNA
Rfam family: Bacterial small subunit ribosomal RNA
Source: RNAcentral